GCCUGGGUGGCUCAGUUGGUUGAGCAUCUGACUUCAGCUCAGGUCAUGAUCUCACAGUUUGUGAGUUCGAGCCCCGUGUCGGGCU
This 85-nucleotide transfer RNA is filed under the name Felis catus (domestic cat). It matches the Rfam family "tRNA". From Rfam's summary of the family: Transfer RNA (tRNA) molecules are approximately 80 nucleotides in length. Their secondary structure includes four short double-helical elements and three loops (D, anti-codon, and T loops). Lineage: Eukaryota; Metazoa; Chordata; Mammalia; Carnivora; Felidae. The record is from Rfam by way of RNAcentral.